GUACAGGUUUCCGUAGGUGACCUGCGGCAAGGAUCAUUACAGAACUGAAGGAAAAAACGUAGUCGCAGAGAGAGACGUCCAAAAGACUAGUCGCUGGCUCGUAAUCCGACGCAUCGUGCACGUCUUCUCUUUCUUCCUCUACUUUUUUCUUUCUUUCCUUACAUUUUACACACUUGUGAACCCAUCGGUAGAUCUCAUGUCCAAGAUCUAGUUACUAGUCGGUCACUUUCGAAAUCUGGCAUUGUGCGCUCUCAUCACGAUUUAGUUAUUAGUCUCGACGAACACAAAUCUUGAUUUAGAGUCCUCGCAUCCUAGUUUCAAAGGAAACUGGCAAACACGCACGUCUUGAAUGUGGAUCUAUGUCUUUAACCUACACUUGUCGAUCGUAUGGCUAGAAUGUAUUAGAGUUUUCUUGUCGCUCGAAGCUCAGUUUCGAUCGAUCAAUAGAUCUCUUAAAAACAUCGUAUAACUUUCAGCAACGGAUCUCUUGGCUCUCGCAUCGAUGAAGAACGCAGCGAAUUGCGAUAAGUAAUGUGAAUUGCAGAUUUCCAGUGAAUCAUCGAAUCUUUGAACGCACCUUGCGCUCCUUGGUAUUCCGAGGAGCAUGCCUGUUUGAGUAUCAUGGACUUCUCAACCAAUUGUGUGUGUGUUCAUGCACAAUUCAAUUGGCUUGGACUUGGGGGUUGCCGGUGACUAGCUUCAUCGACUCCCCUUAAAUGCAUUAGCAAUCCGUUAGCUAGUCUUUCUAGGACGUGCACGGCCUUCGACGUGAUAAUGAUCGUCGUCGCUGGAGCGUACUAAAGACCAGAGAAAGCAGCUUGCUUCUAAUUACACACUUAGUUAGAUCCACGUUCUUUCAAUUCGAGACUUAGUUAUUAGUCACUUUCGACGAACACAAGUCUUUUCGAUUUAGCUAUUAGUUUUCGAACGAACGCAAAUCGAUCGAGUUCGAAUUCGACGUCGAGUUUCUAAUGCUAAUAAUUUGAACCUUUGAUCUCAAAUCAGGUAGGACUACCCGCUGAACUUAAGCAUAUCAAUAAGCGGAGGAAAAGAAACUAACAAGGAUUCCCCUAGUAACUGCGAGUGAAGCGGGAAAAGCUCAAAUUUUGAAUCUGGCGGUCAGUUUCG
Molecule: ribosomal RNA, 1128 nt
Filed under: uncultured Boletaceae
Lineage: Eukaryota; Fungi; Basidiomycota; Agaricomycetes; Boletales; Boletaceae
Description: eukaryotic LSU rRNA
Rfam family: 5.8S ribosomal RNA (bases 468-622)
Source: RNAcentral